Non-coding RNA from Plutella xylostella (diamondback moth), 480 nucleotides. The record is from RefSeq and is a predicted model, not a curated record. Lineage: Eukaryota; Metazoa; Arthropoda; Insecta; Lepidoptera; Plutellidae.
GGCGAGCCAUUCUCUGUCAGAACGUCUCGAGUGAGUGUGUGUUAGAUUUUUCUUCCCGGUCCGCGUGGCACAGGCCGUAUUGGUACCAAGUUCCUUGCUUCAUAUUUCCUGUUACCAGAUACGUGCCACAGACACCCACGCAGCAUCACACCACGUGUACCUAACCAGAAUUGCCGACAAUUUCAAUCCUGCCCGGUGAAGCGUGCGAUUGCCAGACGCGUGUCACCUGACCCCAACCUCCAAGAAGGUGUCGUUGGUGACCAGAGCCGUCAGCGAGCCACGAGCCGUCCGGAGCUCCUGUCCUGGCCCCGUCCAGCAGUCCAGGUUGGCCGUUGUAUGUUCGUUGAGCGGAUACUGAGGAAUUUCCUUAGGAUUUCCAUUAAUCUUCAGCGGCAUCAGCCUUCUAACGCCGCUGCUGAAUGUAGGAUUGCAAAGGCAGAACCCGGGUGGACUCUAGCGGGUUAAAACUUUUAUUUUAUU